Molecule: small nucleolar RNA, 123 nt
Organism: Cricetulus griseus (Chinese hamster)
Lineage: Eukaryota; Metazoa; Chordata; Mammalia; Rodentia; Cricetidae
Gene: SNORA70
Rfam family: Small nucleolar RNA SNORA70
About the family: snoRNA U70 seems to be exclusive to mammals and is a member of the H/ACA class of snoRNA which contain H (ANANNA) and ACA box motifs. H/ACA box snoRNAs are involved in the conversion of uridines to pseudouridines (5-ribosyluracil) a constituent of structural RNAs (transfer, ribosomal, small nuclear, and small nucleolar).
Source: Ensembl
CUGCAGCUAAUUAAGCCAACCAGAUUUCUUUCACAGGGACCUGUGUGCAAUGGCUGCAAACACCAACCUCCUUGGGAGUGUAGGCAGUCUGUUGCUUGUUGGAUUGCUCCAAGAGAAACAGAG